RNAcentral lists this ribosomal RNA (882 nucleotides) under Triticum aestivum (bread wheat). RNAcentral describes it as "partial small subunit ribosomal RNA". The record is from RNAcentral. Lineage: Eukaryota; Viridiplantae; Streptophyta; Magnoliopsida; Poales; Poaceae.
AUGGCUUGGUUCGACGACCACUCGCAGAGGCCGGCCGAGGUGUUUACGGUGAUCCACGCCACGCCGGCCAUGCACCAGGAGGCGGCGCUCCUCGGCUCGAACGCCGUCGUUACUUGGCUCGACCGCGACCUCAGGGCCUCCACGCAAGACAUCGCCAACGCCAUCGUCCAGGAGAUGGGCAUGCUGUCGGACGACGUGUGCGUCGUCAAGCACUUCCCAGAGGCCUUUCUGAUGCGGUUCUUCCACCAGCACCACUGCGCAGAUGCAGCCGGGCGCCGCGACCUGAAGUUCAGAGACACCAGGUUGCAGAUGCGUCCUUGGAGGUUUGAGGCCCAUUCCAAGAACGUGGACCUCGUCCACCACGUCCGUCUCUGCUUGGACGGGCUCCCGCUACAGGCGUGGGACGACUACGCCGUCGCGCAGGCCAUCGGGCCGGGAUGCUCCAUCGACUACAUCAAGACCGCCUCCAAGCUCAAGACAGACACUGAGGUGUUGGGGGUGUGGGCGUGGACGGCGUCGCCGGCGAACGUGCCGCGCGUGAACUGGGUGACCCUGCCGGCGCGUGCGGGGGGGAGGGGGCAGCCUAUCAUCGGGCAUCGUGGCUUGGAGCGGCGGGUGAUCAUUCACCUGUCCAUCCAUGAAGACCCCACACAGGGUCCCAAGAUCGUCUCCAAGGGGUUCACCUUCCAGAAGGGUGUCAUCGAUGGCGAGAGACAUGCGCGUGAUCCCCGCGAGCACAUCUCUCGCCCUGUCGACCACCACAGGAGGGACCGUGACAACGACCAUGACCACGGUCGAGAUGACGACGGACGCCGCUGCCGCAACAGCUCACGGAGCCGCGAGGGGUGGGGUGACCGCAUCAGGCAUAGCCUCUCGCGCUAG